Molecule: unclassified non-coding RNA, 215 nt
Filed under: Phaeosphaeria podocarpi
Lineage: Eukaryota; Fungi; Ascomycota; Dothideomycetes; Pleosporales; Phaeosphaeriaceae
Description: partial internal transcribed spacer region
Rfam family: Eukaryotic small subunit ribosomal RNA (bases 1-46)
Source: RNAcentral
AAGUCAUAACAAGGUUUCCAUAGGUGAACCUGCGGAAGGAUCAUUACAUUCAGUAGCCUAGCUACUUGUUUACACCCUUGUUUUUUGCGUACCUAUUAUUUCCUCAGCGGGCUUGCUCACCGGUUAGACAAAACUAUAACCUUUUUUAAAUCUUCAAUCAGCGUCUAAAUUAUACAUAAUAAUUACAACUUUCAACAACAGAUCUCUUAGUUCUA